Long non-coding RNA from Oncorhynchus tshawytscha (Chinook salmon), 1264 nucleotides. RefSeq lists it as uncharacterized. NCBI's taxonomy places the organism in Eukaryota, Metazoa, Chordata, Actinopteri, Salmoniformes, Salmonidae. The record is from RefSeq and is a predicted model, not a curated record. The transcript is spliced from 2 exons.
ACUUCGCCAGAUGAUUAUAUGACCCAUCAAGUUAGCCCUAAUCACCAUCAGACACACCUGGCUAUCUACUGUAUAACAAUGCUAACAUAUUUGUGUCUGGAAUUUGUCUUUCCGCAUCAGUAGAACACUUCUUACUCUCCUCCACCAGUCAUACAAGGAGAAUGCCUCCCAUCAAAAAGAGAGCUGUCCCAAGCAAGAACAGGUUUCACCUUGAAGCAUGAGGACUUGCAGCGAGAUGUGAACUUCAUCAACAACUACGCAGAGGAUAAUGCAAUAGCAUUACCAGGACUGCACCCAGUACACAAAUACUUUGGUGGAAAGUUGCUGCCAUCUCAAAACCAGAGUGAACACUUUGUCUGAGAUUGCUGGUGUUGCGAAGGACAGUGCUGUGACAGUGGUCAACAUCCCACAGCUGGUUGGACUGGAGGAUGGUACGCUGCUGGUGGAAAGCUAUGGCUGGCAACAACACCUGGCUCUGUGCUUCAGGCCGCUGCCACAGAUCAAGCAGUACCAGCACUUCAGCCUGGUGUUGUUGUCGCCAAGGAGCGUUCGGACACAGUCGGGACCAGGUUUCAGCUACUGCACAACGCUGACAUCCUCCCUCCCAUAGAUGGUCGGCUUGUACAAGCACCACCUAGACUGGACACAGCUAGACAAACUCAUCUUUUUGAGAAGAUAUGGGAGUUUUGUGACCAAGAGACUAUGUACAUCACAUGCCCUGCACUAAAGGCAAGGGCAGGACAUCAACGGGAUCUCCGAAUAUAGAUUCCUUUGUUCAUUCGUGGUUCGGACGGACCAGUUCAUUACUGGGGGAGAGUUCUCAGUCAUCAGCGCUAUCUGCAGUGCCUCUAUAGACAUUCACAUCACUUCCUAAUACACACGCCAUAUGUUGCUGCUACUAUUUAUUUUUGUAUCCUGCUGCUCAGCCACUUUACCCCUCACUGUAUGCAUAUAACUACCCCAUCUAUCACCAGUAUCACUGAUAUUGUUAUUAAUAUUGUUCUUGUACAUACUGUAUCUUAUUUUGUUCUUUCUCUACUGGCAUUGACACUUGUUAUUUGUUCUUUAUAUUGACACUAUCUAUUUUUGAUAUUGCUACUAUGCAAGUAACCAUUUCGCUGUACUGUUUACACCUUCUGUAGAGACCCAUCCACUUAGCAAGAUGUGGCUGGUGGUUAUAGCAUUUCUUUCACAUGACCCAUCAAUUUAGACAAGUGUGUCUGGGUAAGCGUCAACUAAUAUUUAUAAAUGAUUUUUAUCUGGA